Molecule: long non-coding RNA, 438 nt
Organism: Manis javanica (Malayan pangolin)
Lineage: Eukaryota; Metazoa; Chordata; Mammalia; Pholidota; Manidae
Source: RefSeq, a predicted model, not a curated record
UGCGUGGUUUGGGUGAAUGUUCUGUCCGCUGAGGUUAAUGACUCCUUGCCCUUCCCACUUAGCUGCUCUGCAUUCCUGGCCUACACUGUCAGAUGGAUCUACAGAAAAUUCUAUUUUCACUUUAGCAUCAUCUGAAGACAAAAAUCAUAUUCAUUUUUAAUGGACAGAAAUCUACCUGUAACUUCAGUCAGUUGCAUAACCAAUGAUUUGUUGUUGAGCAACUGCUAAAUGAUGAAAGGCCUUAAGAGCACAAAGGUGAGGCUUCCUGAGGAUGAGGAAAUUUUGCCUGUGGGCUGUGGCUUCAGCUCCUGCCUAGACAUUUCCUGUGUGGUCUUCUGGACAGCCUGCUCUGCAGAUUUCGGAACUCCCAGCUCUCACAAUCGUGGAAGCCAGUUCUUUUGAAACAGAGCUCUUGAUAUAUUUAAUAAAUGUAAUUUG